AUUGAACGCUGGCGGCAUGCCUUACACAUGCAAGUCGAACGGUAACAGGUCUUCGGAUGCUGACGAGUGGCGAACGGGUGAGUAAUACAUCGGAACGUGCCUAGUAGUGGGGGAUAACUACUCGAAAGAGUGGCUAAUACCGCAUGGGAUCUACGGAUGAAAGCAGGGGAGCGCAAGACCUUGUGCUACUAGAGCGGCCGAUGGCAGAGUAGGUAGUUGGUGGGAUAAAAGCUUACCAAGCCGACGAUCUGUAGCUGGUCUGAGAGGACGAUCAGCCACACUGGGACUGAGACACGGCCCAGACUCCUACGGGAGGCAGCAGUGGGGAAUUUUGGACAAUGGGCGAAAGCCUGAUCCAGCAAUGCCGCGUGCAGGAUGAAGGCCUUCGGGUUGUAAACUGCUUUUGUACGGAACGAAAAGCCCCGGGUUAAUACCCUGGGGUCAUGGCGGUACCGUAAGAAUAAGCACCGGCUAACUACGUGCCAGCCGCCGCUGUAA
Molecule: ribosomal RNA, 498 nt
Filed under: uncultured bacterium
Lineage: Bacteria
Description: partial 16S ribosomal RNA
Rfam family: Bacterial small subunit ribosomal RNA
Source: RNAcentral